AUGAACGUUGGCGGCGUGCCUAAUACAUGCAAGUCGAGCGAACAGACGAGGAGCUUGCUCCUCUGACGUUAGCGGCGGACGGGUGAGUAACACGUGGAUAACCUACCUAUAAGACUGGGAUAACUUCGGGAAACCGGAGCUAAUACCGGAUAAUAUAUUGAACCGCAUGGUUCCAUAGUGAAAGACGGUUUUGCUGUCAAUUAUAGAUGGAUCCGCGCCGCAUUAGCUAGUUGGUAAGGUAACGGCUUACCAAGGCGACGAUGCGUAGCCGACCUGAGAGGGUGAUCGGCCACACUGGAACUGAGACACGGUCCAGACUCCUACGGGAGGCAGCAGUAGGGAAUCUUCCGCAAUGGGCGAAAGCCUGACGGAGCAACGCCGCGUGAGUGAUGAAGGUCUUCGGAUCGUAAAACUCUGUUAUUAGGGAAGAACAAAUGUGUAAGUAACUAUGCACGUCUUGACGGUACCUAAUCAGAAAGCCACGGCUAACUACGUG
Molecule: ribosomal RNA, 496 nt
Filed under: uncultured bacterium
Lineage: Bacteria
Description: partial 16S ribosomal RNA
Rfam family: Bacterial small subunit ribosomal RNA
Source: RNAcentral